This 505-nucleotide ribosomal RNA is filed under the name uncultured organism. Its description in RNAcentral is "bacterial SSU rRNA". It matches the Rfam family "Bacterial small subunit ribosomal RNA", at positions 850 to 1344 of the family's 1533-position model. The record is from RNAcentral.
AGCUAACGCUAUAAGCACUCCGCCUGAAGAGUACGGUCGCAAGAUUGGAACUCAAAGGAAUUGACGGGGGUCUAACACUAGUGGUGGAGCAUGUGGUUUAAUGCGAUAAUCCGCGCAAAACCUUACCAAUUUUUGACAUAUUUGAAUAGUUUCUUUUCAGAAAACGCUUUAAGGCUAACUAUUUUUUUACAGGUGUUGCACGACUGUCGUCAGCUCGUGUCGUGAGAUGUUUGGUUAAGUCCUGAAACGGGCGUAACUCUUGCUUUUUAAAUAACCUACUUUGAAGUUCUAUAUCUUGGCUUAAAAGGUACGGUCAACGAUAAGUUGAAGGAAGGUAAGAAUGAAGUCAAGUCAAUGUGACCCUAAUAAAUUGGGCUACUUCAUGUGCUACAAUGAAAAUUACAAAGAGUGACAAAAAAGAAAUUUCACGGUAAUCUAUAAAAUUUUCCCAGUUCGAAUUGUAGACUGCAACUCGUCUACAUGAAGUUGGAAUCACUAGUAAUCG